UUAAAUUUUAAUGAAAUGUUAAUUUAUUCGCGCCAAAACGCAGUCACCGACGUUGACAUUUGCUGUGACGUCAAUCCUUAGCAAACUUGUAAACAUUAGAGUCGAGUAACAAAUAAAACAUAUUAAAUAUUAUUUUAAUAUGAAUUCUAAAGGAUAUAAGUGGUGUGCGGUCCCGCAGUGCACUAAUACGUCAAUAAAAACCCCUAACAAAGUGUUUAUUUACGUGCCAAACGAUAAAACGAUGUGAUAUAAGUGGCUAACUCUUGCACGGCGAGAUUCUAAAGCUGUUCGUCUUGAUACAUCUAUUUAUUUCUGCGUAGAUCAUUUUGACUUGCCACAUGAUAUGGAUAAUUAUAUGGAAUAUCACAUAAUGGGUUCUGUGUCGAAAAUUCGAAUGAAACCAGGGUGUAUACCCACUAAAUUUGAAUGCCAAGCAGAUAGGAGAAAACGAGCAUCUGAUAUGACCGAACGACCAUAUACUGUAAAAAAGCAAAGACAGGAAUUAAUUCAAGAUUCUAUAAAAGAUCUGGAAGAUAAAAGUAUUGUAAAUAAAGCUAUAGAGUUUGGAGAGACAUCAUCAAGUUCCGGUACCAAUCAAUUUUGAAUCUGUGCAUGGAAAUACAGAAAGUAUUACACAAGAGAAAAAUAAGUCUGCAAAUAAAUCCAUCCAAGUUUACAUCACACACAAAUUCAGGAGCAAAGGAGCAAAUUAGAACCUAUGAUUAUUUAACCUCUUUUUGUAUGAUCAUAAUUAAAUAGGAAAAAAUAAAAGCACUAAUUAAC
This 783-nucleotide long non-coding RNA is filed under the name Helicoverpa zea (corn earworm). RNAcentral's name for it is "uncharacterized LOC124642032". Lineage: Eukaryota; Metazoa; Arthropoda; Insecta; Lepidoptera; Noctuidae. The record is from RNAcentral.